Molecule: long non-coding RNA, 299 nt
Filed under: Musa acuminata (dwarf banana)
Lineage: Eukaryota; Viridiplantae; Streptophyta; Magnoliopsida; Zingiberales; Musaceae
Description: long non-coding RNA (MACU_LNC006348)
Source: RNAcentral
CAACACCAGCAUCAGAGAUCGAUCAAUUUGCCGGUAUCCCACAGGCCGCCUCUCUUCUCGAGAUCUCGGCCCUUGUCCACCGGGAAUCUCGAUGUCUCCGACGGCGACGCAAGCAGCAGCGUCGGCAGCAGAGACCGCUGGGAGGACGGUGACGACCGUGCGAAGUGCGAUGACCCCAGGUGCUUGAUCAAGAACCUCGACAACGGGAGGGAGUUCGUGGUGAAGGAAUUCGGGAAGGAUGGGAUGUGGAACAAGUUAAGGGAGGUUGAGACCGGGCGGCAGCUCACGAUGGAGGAGUU